GAGGUGCCUUUACUACAUGUGUGAUCUGAAAACCCUGCUUGGUUCUGAGCUGCGUCUAUUGAAUUGGUAAAGUAAUACCAAUGGCUUUUUAUCAUUUCCUUCUUCCCUUUAAGUUUCACUUGAAAUUUUAAAAAUCAUGGUUAUUUUUAUCGUUGGGAUCUUUCUGUCUUCUGGGUUCCAUUUUUUAAAUGUUUAAAAAUAUGUU
This 205-nucleotide long non-coding RNA is filed under the name Homo sapiens (human). RNAcentral's name for it is "HSALNT0363272". Lineage: Eukaryota; Metazoa; Chordata; Mammalia; Primates; Hominidae. The record is from RNAcentral.